This 265-nucleotide ribosomal RNA is filed under the name uncultured bacterium. RNAcentral's name for it is "partial 16S ribosomal RNA". It matches the Rfam family "Bacterial small subunit ribosomal RNA", at positions 793 to 1055 of the family's 1533-position model. The record is from RNAcentral.
GUCCACGCCGUAAACGAUGAGUGCUAGGUGCUGCGGGUAUUGACCCCUGCGGUGCCGUAGCUAACGCGUUAAGCACUCCGCCUGGGGAGUACGGCCGCAAGGCUAAAACUCAAAGGAAUUGACGGGGGCCCGCACAAGCGGUGGAGCAUGUGGUUCAAUUCGACGCAACGCGCAGAACCUUACCUGGGUUAAAUCCACUCGAAUCUGGCAGAGAUGCCGGGGUGCCUUUCGGGGAACGAGUGAGAAGGUGCUGCAUGGCUGUCGU